GUGCUCACUUUGGCAGCACAUACAUUAAAACUGGAACAACACAGAGAUUAGCAUGGCUUCUGUGCAGUGAUGACAUGCAAAUUUGUGAAGAGCUCUUUCAGAUA
Molecule: small nuclear RNA, 104 nt
Organism: Gorilla gorilla gorilla (western lowland gorilla)
Lineage: Eukaryota; Metazoa; Chordata; Mammalia; Primates; Hominidae
Source: RefSeq, a predicted model, not a curated record